CUACGGGCUGCACCAGUGGGGAAUAUUGCACAAUGGGCGCAAGCCUGGUGCAGCAACGCCGCGUGAGGGACGAAGGCCUUCGGGUUGUAAACCUCUUUUAGCAGGGAAGAAGCGAAAGUGACGGUACCUGCAGAAAAAGCACCGGCUAACUACGUGCCAGCAGCCGCGGUAAUACGUAGGGUGCAAGCGUUGUCCGGAAUUAUUGGGCGUAAAGAGCUCGUAGGCGGUUUGUCACGUCUGCUGUGAAAUUUCGAGGCUCAACCUCGAACUUGCAGUGGGUACGGGCAGGCUAGAGUGCGGUAGGGGAGAUGGGAAUUCCUGGUGUAGCGGUGGAAUGCGCAGAUAUCAGGAGGAACACCAAUGGCGAAGGCACAUCUCUGGGCCGUAACUGACGCUGAGGAGCGAAAGCGUGGGGAGCGAACAGGAUUAGAUACCCUCGUAGUC
RNAcentral lists this ribosomal RNA (444 nucleotides) under uncultured bacterium. RNAcentral describes it as "partial 16S ribosomal RNA". It matches the Rfam family "Bacterial small subunit ribosomal RNA", at positions 339 to 795 of the family's 1533-position model. The record is from RNAcentral.